This 246-nucleotide ribosomal RNA is filed under the name uncultured bacterium. RNAcentral describes it as "partial 16S ribosomal RNA". It matches the Rfam family "Bacterial small subunit ribosomal RNA", at positions 15 to 254 of the family's 1533-position model. The record is from RNAcentral.
GAUNAUGGCUCAGGAUGAACGCUAGCUACAGGCUUAACACAUGCAAGUCGAGGGGCAUCAGAAGAAAGCUUGCUUUCUUUGCUGGCGACCGGCGCACGGGUGAGUAACACGUAUCCAACCUGCCCUUUACUCGGGGAUAGCCUUUCGAAAGAAAGAUUAAUACCCGAUAGCAUAAUGAUUCCGCAUGGUUUCAUUAUUAAAGGAUUCCGGUAAAGGAUAGGGAUGCGUUCCAUUAGGUUGUUGGUG